AUUGAAAUAGCUUAACACAAAGCGUAACACUGAAGCUGUUAAAAUGGACUUUCCUUUCAAUA
Molecule: transfer RNA, 62 nt
Filed under: Timarete posteria
Lineage: Eukaryota; Metazoa; Annelida; Polychaeta; Terebellida; Cirratulidae
Description: tRNA-Phe
Rfam family: tRNA
About the family: Transfer RNA (tRNA) molecules are approximately 80 nucleotides in length. Their secondary structure includes four short double-helical elements and three loops (D, anti-codon, and T loops).
Source: RNAcentral